Vicugna pacos (alpaca) is the source of this 104-nucleotide small nuclear RNA. The record is from Ensembl. Lineage: Eukaryota; Metazoa; Chordata; Mammalia; Artiodactyla; Camelidae.
GUGCUCGCUUCGGCAGCACAUAUACUAAAACUGGAAUGAUACAGAGAUGAGCGUGGCCCCUGCACAAGGAUGACAUGCACAUUCAUGAAGUGUUCUAUAUCUAA